RNAcentral lists this ribosomal RNA (465 nucleotides) under Vreelandella stevensii. RNAcentral's name for it is "partial 16S ribosomal RNA". It matches the Rfam family "Bacterial small subunit ribosomal RNA", at positions 338 to 795 of the family's 1533-position model. The record is from RNAcentral. Lineage: Bacteria; Pseudomonadati; Pseudomonadota; Gammaproteobacteria; Oceanospirillales; Halomonadaceae.
CCUACGGGAGGCAGCAGUGGGGAAUAUUGGACAAUGGGGGGAACCCUGAUCCAGCCAUGCCGCGUGUGUGAAGAAGGCCCUCGGGUUGUAAAGCACUUUCAGUGAGGAAGAACGCCUGGUGGUUAAUACCCAUCAGGAAAGACAUCACUCACAGAAGAAGCACCGGCUAACUCCGUGCCAGCAGCCGCGGUAAUACGGAGGGUGCGAGCGUUAAUCGGAAUUACUGGGCGUAAAGCGCGCGUAGGUGGCUUGAUAAGCCGGUUGUGAAAGCCCCGGGCUCAACCUGGGAACGGCAUCCGGAACUGUCAAGCUAGAGUGCAGGAGAGGAAGGUAGAAUUCCCGGUGUAGCGGUGAAAUGCGUAGAGAUCGGGAGGAAUACCAGUGGCGAAGGCGGCCUUCUGGACUGACACUGACACUGAGGUGCGAAAGCGUGGGUAGCAAACGGGAUUAGAUACCCUAGUAGUC